UGGGGACCCCACCCCUGUGGCAGAAAGACUCAGAGUGAAGCGGAAUGCUAGGACUCCUAAAGGGAGAGAGGCAGUCCGAGGGAAGGAAGGGUUCUUGGCACAGCGCUGACUUCUCUGGGCCAAGUGAGAGCCCAGACCCUUUGGAGACUGGGACUGAGCCUUGGUGAAGCGCCACCGGGGAGCUGAGCUGAGUAACCCAUGCCAGUCACGAGAACACUCAGUGCCAACACAUGCCAGCUUGUCUGUUAAACAACUGUUGAUUCGAUGAGCAGAUGGCUGACUUGAGCUUCUUGGGAGGCAAGGAUUGAGCUCGCUGACUUCACAGGCUGGUGAGGAGAAGACUGCUACAUGCAAACAUGCCCAGCAAAUAGAAGCUUCCUGCAUGGAUGCUGGCUUGCCUCCUUCUUUGAAAGUGAAGUGCCACCCUCAAGAGCUUCAAGGGCACAAGGUCUCACUGGUGUCUGUGUGUGUGUGUGUGUGUGUGUGUGUGUGUGUGUGUGUGUGUGUGUUGUGCUGACCCUGUGAUGAUCCUGGGGGGCGGAUGGGCAGUAUGGCAAAGAUUACUUUUUUUUUUUUAAGUGUUUAUUUAUUGAUUAGAGAGAAAGAUAGGAACAGAGAGAUAAAGAACCAAACAUCACUCUGGUACAUGUGCUGCCAGGGAUUGAACUAAGGACCUCAAGCAUUAGAAUCUAAUGUUUUAAACACUGUUCCACCUCUUGGAUCACUUUUUUUUCCCCCUCCAGUGUUAUUGCUGGAGCUUGAUGCCAGCCCCUACGAAUCCACUGCUCCUGAAGGCCAUUUUUCCUAUUUUGUUGCCCUUGUUAUUGUUAUUAUUGUUGCCAUUGCUGUUGUUGUUGUCAGAUAGGACAGAGAGAAAUGGAGAGAGGAGGGGGAGACAGAGAGGGGGAGAGAAAGACAGACACCUGCAGACCUGCUUCACCGCCUGUGAAGCGACUCCCCUGCAGGUGGGGAGCCGGGGGCUCGAACCAGGAUCCUUAUGCCGGUCCUUGUGCUUUGCGCCACCUGCGCUUAACCCGCUGCGCUACAGCCU
Long non-coding RNA from Erinaceus europaeus (western European hedgehog), 1051 nucleotides. RefSeq lists it as uncharacterized. The record is from RefSeq and is a predicted model, not a curated record. NCBI's taxonomy places the organism in Eukaryota, Metazoa, Chordata, Mammalia, Eulipotyphla, Erinaceidae. The transcript has 3 exons.